RNAcentral lists this long non-coding RNA (9270 nucleotides) under Sorghum bicolor (sorghum). Its description in RNAcentral is "long non-coding RNA (SBIC_LNC003827)". The record is from RNAcentral. Lineage: Eukaryota; Viridiplantae; Streptophyta; Magnoliopsida; Poales; Poaceae.
UCCCUGUCACAUGUACCCGCCACAGGUAUCUCUCAUGGAGAACGCCCAGGUAGCAUUCCCCGGCAAGACUUGUCCCAAGACUCGUCGUAAAUCCUGCUCGGUCGACUCGACCCUCACCACACACCCAAGACACACGCCAAGAUCUCCCCAUAUCCAUUAUCCAUUUCUUAACCAGUUAUCGGCACACGUGCCUUAUCCACUCACAUCCAAUCCUUCACAAUGCAUCACAUCACAGAUAUAAUGCGUAGUAGAAGCAGUAGCAAGUAGUAUGCAAGCAUCUAUCCUAACAGCGGGUGUGCGAGGGUUAUAGGUUGCAACAAGGCAAUGGCUCACAAGCAUUUCUACCAUGCAACCUAUCUCAGUUCAUUUGCAUAAAAGUAAAGCACUAGCAUCUACAUUAUUGCAUGUCUAAUAGGAUUCUACGAGGUUGGGUGGGACGUGGCACCUGUCGAGUGACAUUUCCAGGAUCCUCAGUUCACUUGUAGUUGUACUCAUCCAAGGUCUUUCUCCUAUCUGCAUGUCCUUCCUUCGACUGGUUCCGACUCGAUCAACGCUAACCCCGAAGCGACUACCUCGUAAGCGACAAUCAAGGCGAAACAAUCAAACCACUAGACCUCGAGAGACUGCGAAAAGAGACAAAGAACACUGAAGAACAACUACACUAAAGAGUACCGAAAGGAUAAUGACUUAGCCCUCUCGGUGGAUGCCCGAUCCCUGGGCUAAAGAAAUGAGAAUGGUUGUUUACUAAGUACAAGCUGGAGUCUUCGCCUAGCCGUUACUUCCCGGGUCGAUCGUGUCGACCUGCACGGCUUUAAUAAUAAAGGUGUAGACUCUAACUCAUUUUAAGUAAACACCAUGGCUUACGAACUUUCGAUCCAAGCGUCAUAGAGAUUGACGAGAACCAAACGGUUGUAAGCACAAGAACUCUGUUCUCUCUCAACCCGUACGCCAUUAUGAUUGGCGAGAGUCAAGAGAGGGUGAAACAAAGAGAGAAGAAAAGGGGAGUGGUCUACUCCUUCCAGUCCACUCGCCACGGUAAGAGACGAGGAAUUAGAAAGAGUGACGCACAAAGAAAAAAAGAGUGCUCAAGCUACUUAUAGGGUACCACGACCUAGGUACACUGAAUGCACUAAGACAUUCCUCGGGUCCAUAGCAGUGCGGUUGUCACCGCGAGAACCAAAGAAAUGCUACGGUCGAAUAGGUACAAGCAUACAAGAGUUUAAGCACGAAGAACCCAAAAGGCAAGAAAGGACACGGGUUUUACUUUCCAUUGAUCCGCUCGCCAUAACAACGACGGGAGUCACGGGAUUGGAAACAAAACAUCAAACAAAUAAAAGGGGCUCAAUCCACAUCUUACUGGAUCGAUGGGGAUUAAUAUCAAGAGAAGAAGAAUGGAGUUCAUACUCUUUCGACCAACUCAUCAUGGGACAACGACAGUUGGGUAAAAGGAAUACGACCCCACGAUCUAUUCCAACUUAUAACACUUUACGACCUAGGUGCUUCUGAAUCGGCACAAGGUCAUUCCUAUAGUUCCAGACGAUGCGGUUGUCAUCGCGGGAACUAGGGAAAUGCCCGGGUCUAGGUGGCAUAAGCAUACGAGACAGAUAAGAUAAUCGUGCGAGAAAAAUAGUUAAAGCCCGAUGGUCAUGGCGAGGCAAACUCGCGUCCAUGAGCUUCACCUAACGAGUUGGCUUCCGACUGUCCCACAAAGGUUGCCCCCUAAUUCGUAUCCCACUAGACAAGAUCAUGAAGGUCUCGAAUGGUGCGGUUAAGAUCCGCGUCGAUAACGACAUCGAGUCCACGAUGACCAUGUCCGAGGGACGGAAAUAGGAGCUAACGACCGUAGCGCAACGAAGUCAACUAAACACAGGGAAUGAGUUACGCUCGGCAUCGCGAUCACGGCGGGACGAACCCACGAUCGAAAUGAUCGAACACACUACCAUUUCCCUAACCGGCUCGAAGGCUCGGUCCUCAGGCAACGACAAACACAUAAAGAAUCACGACUCGAUCAAAGACAACACAAGGGACACGAUGACAACUCGGAGUAGCACAUUUCCAUAGCACGAGAGAUAGAUAGAUAAAUAAUUAGACCGGCAUGAAGGCACGGCACAGGCAAUGAUAUAGGCGAAGAUAGGUCGUGCUACAAGUAUAGAUAAUUCAUGAUAAGGACAUACGAUAGAUAACAAAAUGAUGUAUGAAUAGAUAUGAAUUAAUAUGGAGUUCCAACGUCGACUAGGGUUUAGGGGGGGUUUUCGACCUUGACGAACAUGAGGAAGGUGGCGGAGACCUGCUGCUGCCACUCUGAUCCGGCUAUGAUCUGCCGCUGACCAGCUGUGGCUUGCUGCGGCUGGUUGGAAGCGGUUGCGGCUUGCUGCAGCGAGUCCAGGGGUUAGCCGAGGGCAGCAGUGUGGUCCAGCCAUGCGGCAAUGGUGCCCCAAGGGCACAUCCUCCCUGCAAGGUGUAGAACACGGCACGAAGGCCGAUCUCAGCAUGGUGAACGCAGGAAGGGGAAAACUUUGGUCUUGGCGAGCUCACCGGGGUUUGGCUUGGCGAAGACAGGGACAAGAGCUUGACGCGGUGACCGUGGCGAGGACGGGGACGCGUCGGGGCCCGACGUCGCGCUCGGUGGUCGCGGCUCCUGAGCGCGGACGUGGACGCCACGGGCUUCAGGUCGGCCGUGGCCGGAGCUGGCGUCGCGGGGCACCGAGGCGGCUCGGCAGUGCUGUGGCGCCCGCGUGGCCAGCCGUGGUCGAAGCUCGACGCGGCGAGGGCAGCGUCGCGGCUGGCCACGGCUCGGCGAAGGUGGCUUCUGGGCGUCAUGUCAGCCGUCGAAGCAAGGGCGCCGUCGUCUCGGGCUCUCGGUGGCGCAGUGGGUGCUCGUCGCGGACAACUCAAGCGCCUGCGUCCCGGUGCGGCCGUGGCAUCCGCGUGGCCGUCCGCGGUCGCGAGUCCGCACGACGCCGCGGUCGCGGAGGACGCCGGGGCCUCGGUGGCGUCCAGGCUUGACGUGAAGGCGUUGUCGCGGCGCCGGUCAUGGAGGACAAGGCGGAGGGCGGCGGCGCUGGGUGGAGGGAACAGAGGACUGCGGCGGCGCCACUAGGGAAGAGCUCGAGGGCGUGGCGGCGGCUGGGCUCUUUAUAGGCGUCGAGGCUAGGGCUUCAGAGUGGAGGCGUUCAUCCUCGGCGUCCGUGUCCACAGCGGGACACGCGGCGCGCAUCGGCACGAACGCCGAGGUGGAGGGGGCAGGCGUGGGCGCGGGGGGGCGGUUCUGCCCACUCUGGGCGGCGGCGGCGGCGGCCUGGGCGAGCUGGGCGCGAGCGCGCGUGGCAGGCUUAGGGUUAGGGGGGGUCGCGCGGUGGGAAAGGCCAGGGAGGGGCGCUGCCUCCCUCGUGGGCCACGGCCUGGCUUGGCGACUUGGGCCGGAGGAGGAGCUGGGCCGUGCGCGCGGGUUGGGCCGGGGCAAGGCGCGCGUGGGAGCUGGGCCGCGGGGAGGGGAAGGGUGCUGGGAUGGUUGGGCUAAAUGCGCGAGGUGGGCCGUGUGUGGGCGCCUGUGCGGCUGGGCCAAAGGCCAAGGAGGGGAGCUCAAGAGAAGGGAGUGAUUUCCUAUUUUGCUAAAUGAUGGAAAGAGGAUUUUCUACCCUUUGCUAAAAUGGUUGAGAGGAAAAGGAAAAGUGAUUGAGAUGAGUUGCCAAAAUUCAAGAUAGAUUUGCUGGCGGAGAUUUAAGAUAAGAUCAAAGAGAGAGAGAAGGGAAUUUCAGGGAGAGUUCAAAAGGAUCAAAAGGAGUUUGAGACGUACUCCAACGAAAAGGUUGAGAAGGGAUCCGCUUCGCCUUUGAGAUAGGCUCAACGAAAAUUCGGGAAGGCUUUGCUACGGAUUUGUGCACUCUAAAAGAAACUCAAAACCCUAACAAGAUCCAACUUAAGACGACCCGUCUACAAACAAAUCUAUAUGUAUGCCACGAUUUGUUAGCGGGUUAGGAUCGAGUUUGACCUAAAUACUAUAUGAUUCACAUGAUUACAGGAAAAAAAAUUUUAAAAAAAACUCGUAUUUUUGGUUUUCGUGAAAAUCUGGGAUGUUACAGUCCACCCUCCUUACAGGAAUCUCGUCCCCGAGAUUUAGGCGUUGCUCGGUCGGUGAAGAAACGCGGGUGUCGUUCCCAAAGCUUUUCUUACUUCUGAGUUGUUUUGCUAUCAGAAAGAUGGCUCCACAAACCUUUUCCAUGUGGGGGCGAGUCAUGUUCAGGAUGUAUCCAAGGCUCACUCGCUGGUGUUGGGUAUCCAAAUUCUCACAAUAAGGCGAUGGGUAUCCAAGAAUCGCACCAGGUUGAUGAACAUCUGGCUCUCUAGGAGUGCAUGGCAGGCUUAAACAUAGCUAGGGUUGUUGGCUUUCACCAGCAGUUUUUCAUGCAUCACUCUUUGCAAAAAGCUUUUGAAAGGAAUGUUUUUCGGAAAAAACAGGUUUCAUAAAUGGAGUGAAAGCGAUUUUACAAAGUCAAUUUUUUUUUUUGAGACUUCAAAAUGAAGAGAGCUUUUGCAGAGGGUUGAAUUCAAUACAAGUUUUGAGAACCAAAUAUUUUGAAGGUUUUAUUAUAAAAGAUUUCAAAUCAAAAGAUUUUAAAAUUCUUUCAUUUUAUUAUUACUAUUUUCUUUAAAACAAGGUAUUGCUCCCUUUUUAUUAGAGUCAAACAAAUUAGUUUUGAAAAUAACAAGAAAUCAUUUCGCAUUUUGAAAGUUAGAGCCUUCACAACCAAAACAUUUUUGAAACUUGAAAGUCCAUUUCGUUCUUUUUUUUGAAAGGUUGCUAAACAAAAACUUUUCACAAUGGUUUUUGUUUAAUAAAUCACUGGGAAUUCCUUUUUCUUUUAAGGCAAGGUUGAAUUUUAAAAGGAAUUUGGCUCUUGAGAUAAAAUCAAAGACAUUUAAAACAAAACUGAGCCAAAGAUCUUUGGUUUGAAAACCACUUUGUUGGUUGAAGGUAGAACUUUUGAUUUUCAGAAAGAGGAUUGGUAACACCUUUUGAAGAUAACUUGUUUUUAAACCGUUUCAUAAAUAGAGUUUGAGUUGAGAAAGGGGGGUUAAAAUUGCUUUAUUUGUGAAAAGGGAAGAAUAUUGAGAGAGUUUUGAAACACUUUUCCUUUUGAAACCAAGAUGUUUUGUAAAAGAGAUAAACUUUUUCAACCAAAAAGGAGAGAAACUUUUUCAACAAAAGGGCAAUUUUGAAGACAAGUUUAGUUGGAAGCCAAAAACAGUUUUGAAAUAGAUGGGCAAGACAUGAUGCAUCAGCUUUAAACCCUUUUUCGGCUCUGUUAGCCAGGGUCACUUAUCUAGUUUCGGGACAGUCUUAGGUUUAGCCAGCUAGAUUGGACGGGAUCCAGAGUCUUUCUCGCAUAAAACAAGUUCUAUGACUUACACUCAGACAUCAAGAAGCAGAAGAAACGCAACAACAUAAGAUCCAAGCACUCAAACAGCAUUACAACUCCUAAUGCAUAGUGUUGACUUGAGGCGACUCACAGACCUUCAAAGUCUCACACAACUAUCGAUCUAGCGUGGGCGGGUAUGGGAAAAGAUUCCAACGGUCAACUUUAUGAAACAGGGAGGUCAGUUAGCAGCAGAAUUCAAGGCGAAGGGGGGAAAACAAGUGUUAGCAUCUAUAACUCUACAAAAGAUAGAAUGUUUGGCUUCUAAACUAGUAUUUGGUCCUAAAGGUCUCGUCCUAGGGUCAAGUAUGGCUCUGAUACCAACUGAAACGACCCAGAUUUUUCCACAAAGGGAAAAAUCCACAGAUUCGAAUUAUAAUGUGAUAAUUCAAAAAUUGAACCAUCGCAUUAUCAUAUAUCAGCUGUUAUCGUAGUCAUACAUCGUGAGAAACAAGAUUACAACACAUUUGCUUUACAACUCUUGAUUAACAAGCUUAUUACAUUGUUUUUCUAGCGGAAACACACGCGAGUCUUUAUCAGAGUCGAUGUAGCGCGACAGCGGUGAAGGCUCCUCCUUCACGGACAAUCAUCAGAGUCGGCGUAGUUUAUCAGCGGGCGCAGCCUUCAUCUCUGAACCAAACUUGAGCGCAGGAACGAGACCACCUAAUCCUUCUAUUCUCCGUAGUUAUCGUCAUAGAUCACGUUCAAAACCUGCUAAACAAUUUUCAGUACGAUUUGUACUGGCCACUGGCUCCCACCCUAUGCUUUUGCGUAAGCUUUGUGGUAAGUGGAAUGCAAAAGGGUAGAUCAAGAGGCCUAUAUAUGGUUGUAGUUUUUCCUAUGCAAGUUCAUCAAUAUUUUAAUAAAAAUAAUUCAUCAAGUUUUAAUCCAUCUCAACCACACGUCCAUCCAUCCAUCCCAUCACACGCAUCUCACCACACUCUCACUCUCUAGGCGGCAAGUACGACUCCCGCUCGUGCCUUGCCUCAACGGCCAACGCCGGAUCCAACACAAACCCAGGGGAAGGUAGAAAGGACUCCUCUCACUAGUCAAGCGAAGCGGAACAUAGGAAAGGUCCAUAGCCGAGAAGACGGCAUAUGUAUCGAUCGAUCAACCAAACUCUGCAGAGGUUUACACUAACCACAAGAUCACCAUCAUCGACGAACCGGCUCGUCUAGGCUGAUACCGGGCUGCCUUCCAACUAAAUACGAUGCCACCCUACCACUCAGGACUGGGGCCAUACCGGAGUACCACCGGCAUGCUGAGACUGUGAGGCGUAGUACCGGGCCCCCAAAGGUCACUACGCUGUCUUAGGAGGGUGUGGGUCCUCAUGCCCGUACCUCCCUACACUAUCCGCUAUCAACCUAGUAGUAGUGGCACCGCACUAGCUGGUCGUACAUCCGUCCCGCACCAUAAUAAGGCGAGUGGCGUGUAAGGCUUCCUACGAACCGGUUCUCAGAACAUCUCAGUCCUUAGGGUAACCGAACAGGACAUCUUCACGAGGGGCCAGCCGAUGCCCCUCUCGACGGGACACCCGGCUACCCCGUGCUAUACAGCACCUCCCAUCCCGGUGCUUCGUCCCACGAAGACACUCCACUCCGGGACCUCUCCCUGUCACAUGUACCCGCCACAGGUAUCUCUCAUGGAGAACGCCCAGGUAGCAUUCCCCGGCAAGACUUGUCCCAAGACUCGUCGUAAAUCCUGCUCGGUCGACUCGACCCUCACCACACACCCAAGACACACGCCAAGAUCUCCCCAUAUCCAUUAUCCAUUUCUUAACCAGUUAUCGGCACACGUGCCUUAUCCACUCACAUCCAAUCCUUCACAAUGCAUCACAUCACAGAUAUAAUGCGUAGUAGAAGCAGUAGCAAGUAGUAUGCAAGCAUCUAUCCUAACAGCGGGUGUGCGAGGGUUAUAGGUUGCAACAAGGCAAUGGCUCACAAGCAUUUCUACCAUGCAACCUAUCUCAGUUCAUUUGCAUAAAAGUAAAGCACUAGCAUCUACAUUAUUGCAUGUCUAAUAGGAUUCUACGAGGUUGGGUGGGACGUGGCACCUGUCGAGUGACAUUUCCAGGAUCCUCAGUUCACUUGUAGUUGUACUCAUCCAAGGUCUUUCUCCUAUCUGCAUGUCCUUCCUUCGACUGGUUCCGACUCGAUCAACGCUAACCCCGAAGCGACUACCUCGUAAGCGACAAUCAAGGCGAAACAAUCAAACCACUAGACCUCGAGAGACUGCGAAAAGAGACAAAGAACACUGAAGAACAACUACACUAAAGAGUACCGAAAGGAUAAUGACUUAGCCCUCUCGGUGGAUGCCCGAUCCCUGGGCUAAAGAAAUGAGAAUGGUUGUUUACUAAGUACAAGCUGGAGUCUUCGCCUAGCCGUUACUUCCCGGGUCGAUCGUGUCGACCUGCACGGCUUUAAUAAUAAAGGUGUAGACUCUAACUCAUUUUAAGUAAACACCAUGGCUUACGAACUUUCGAGGGGCGCUGCCUCCCUCGUGGCGCUGCCUCCCUCGUGGGCCACGGCCUGGCUUGGCGACUUGGGCCGGAGGAGGAGCUGGGCCGUGCGCGCGGGUUGGGCCGGGGCAAGGCGCGCGUGGGAGCUGGGCCGCGGGGAGGGGAAGGGUGCUGGGAUGGUUGGGCUAAAUGCGCGAGGUGGGCCGUGUGUGGGCGCCUGUGCGGCUGGGCCAAAGGCCAAGGAGGGGAGCUCAAGAGAAGGGAGUGAUUUCCUAUUUUGCUAAAUGAUGGAAAGAGGAUUUUCUACCCUUUGCUAAAAUGGUUGAGAGGAAAAGGAAAAGUGAUUGAGAUGAGUUGCCAAAAUUCAAGAUAGAUUUGCUGGCGGAGAUUUAAGAUAAGAUCAAAGAGAGAGAGAAGGGAAUUUCAGGGAGAGUUCAAAAGGAUCAAAAGGAGUUUGAGACGUACUCCAACGAAAAGGUUGAGAAGGGAUCCGCUUCGCCUUUGAGAUAGGCUCAACGAAAAUUCGGGAAGGCUUUGCUACGGAUUUGUGCACUCUAAAAGAAACUCAAAACCCUAACAAGAUCCAACUUAAGACGACCCGUCUACAAACAAAUCUAUAUGUAUGCCACGAUUUGUUAGCGGGUUAGGAUCGAGUUUGACCUAAAUACUAUAUGAUUCACAUGAUUACAGGAAAAAAAAUUUUAAAAAAAACUCGUAUUUUUGGUUUUCGUGAAAAUCUGGGAUGUUACACACUGACCGACUCGAUCUACCGGUAAUAGCACAAUUACCAGCGCUCGAUCUCGAUGCACGAUCGAUCGGGACUGAUCAGUAGAGCCUGUAGUGGCGGUAGGACUUGAGCAUGGCGCCGCAGAAGGUGCAGAUGAUGGCGCGCCAGGUGCGGCGGUGCACGGUGAGCAGGUAGCAGACCCUGGUGGCGGUCUCCAUGUCCGCCACGCUAGCGCACCCGCCGCAGCGCGAGCAGAUCCCCGCCGCCGGCUUGCUGCUCCGCACCUUCCGCCGCUGGUCCACCAGGAAGCAGAAGAACACCAUCGCUCGCCCGCUCGCUCCUCCUGGCUGCUGGCUCCCUCGGCCCGCUAGCUGGAUCGCGCACUCUCCAAUCCAACAACCACUGUUCUUCUUGCGUGUGCGCGGCGCGCGCUUGUAUGUAUAUAUAGAGCGGCAGCCGGCAGGUGGCAAUAAUGCGGGGCGCGACCGCGCGAGGCUUGCAAGCAACGGGUAAUGGAGGCUGGCUGGCGAGAGUGAGGUCAGCAAUGGCCGGCGAGCAGCAGCCAGCAGGCGGCAGUUCUACGUGCGGCGGCGGGGGCGAAGGAAGGAGGAUGGUAGGGGAUUUAAGGCGAGGCAUAUGGACCGCAUUGAUGGCGGGCAGGAGGGUGG